GCGACCUCUGCGUAGUAAUACAGCUCGCACCGGAACCCCGACGCGGCCACGCCGUAAAACACCCAACUUCUGAACGUUGACCUCGAAUCAGGUAGCACAACCCGCUGAACUUAAGCAUAUCAAUAAGCGGAGGAAAAGAAACCAACAGGGAUUGCCCCAGUAACGGCGAGUGAAGCGGCAACAGCUCAAAUUUGAAAUCUGGCUCUCAGGGCCCGAGUUGUAAUUUUGUAGGAGGAUG
Molecule: ribosomal RNA, 238 nt
Filed under: Beauveria bassiana
Lineage: Eukaryota; Fungi; Ascomycota; Sordariomycetes; Hypocreales; Cordycipitaceae
Description: partial 28S ribosomal RNA
Rfam family: Eukaryotic large subunit ribosomal RNA (bases 78-238)
Source: RNAcentral